RNAcentral lists this ribosomal RNA (1246 nucleotides) under metagenome. RNAcentral describes it as "bacterial LSU rRNA". It matches the Rfam family "Bacterial large subunit ribosomal RNA", at positions 1564 to 2819 of the family's 2925-position model. The record is from RNAcentral.
UGAUGACGAGACGCUAAGGCGUUGAAAUGGUGUAUGUCAGACUUCCAAGAAAAGCUCGCAAUGUCAUAGAUAAAAAAUGCCUGUACCAUAACCGACACAGGUGGGUAGGUAGAGUAUACUAAGGGGCGCGAGAUAACUCUCUCUAAGGAACUCGGCAAAAUGACUCCGUAACUUCGGGAGAAGGAGUGCCUUAUUUAUAAGGUUGCAAUAACAAGAUCCAAGCAACUGUUUAUCAAAAACACAGGUCUCCGCUAAGUCGUAAGACGAUGUAUGGGGGCUGACGCCUGCCCAGUGCCAGAAGGUUAAAGAAGUUGGUUAGUGUAAGCGAAGCUGAUAACUGAAGCCCUGGUGAACGGCGGCCGUAACAAUAACGGUCCUAAGGUAGCGAAAUUCCUUGUCGGGUAAGUUCCGACCCGCACGAAAGGCGUAAUGAUUUGGAUACUGUCUCGGAGAGAGGCUCGGUGAAAUAGACUUGUCUGUGAAGAUGCGGACUACCUGCACCAGGACAGAAAGACCCUAUGAAGCUUUACUGUAACUUGAAAUUGGAAUUGGACUUUGCUUGCGCAGUAUAGGUGGGAAGCGUUGAAGAUACUCUUGCGGGACUAUUGGAGCUAUCAGUGAGAUACCACUCUUGUAAUGUUAGAUUUCUAACUUUGAACCAUAAUCUGGUCAAAGAACAGUUUCAGGCGGGCAGUUUGACUGGGGCGGUCGCCUCCUAAAUGGUAACGGAGGCGUACAAAGGUUUCCUCUGAACGGAUAGAAAUCGUAUCUAGAGUGUAAAGGCAUAAGGAAGCUUGACUGUGAGGCCUACAAGUCGAGCAGGGACGAAAGUCGGUCUUAGUGAUCUGACGGUACUGAGUGGAAAGGCCGUCACUCAACGGAUAAAAGUUACUCUAGGGAUAACAGGCUGAUCUCCCCCAAGAGUUCACAUCGACGGGGAGGUUUGGCACCUCGAUGUCGGCUCAUCGCAUCCUGGGGCGGUAGUACGUCCCAAGGGUUGGGCUGUUCGCCCAUGAAAGCGGUACGCGAGCUGGGUUCAGAACGUCGUGAGACAGUUCGGUCCAUAUCCGGUGUAGGCGUUAGAAUAUUGAGAGGAGCUUUCUUUAGUACGAGAGGACCGAGAAGGACACACCGCUGGUGUACCAGUUAUCGUGCCAACGGUAAACGCUGGGUAGCUAUGUGUGGAGAGGAUAACCGCUGAAAGCAUCUAAGUGGGAAGCCCACCUCAAGAUGAGUAUUCUCAUCG